RNAcentral lists this ribosomal RNA (483 nucleotides) under uncultured bacterium. Its description in RNAcentral is "bacterial SSU rRNA". It matches the Rfam family "Bacterial small subunit ribosomal RNA", at positions 33 to 507 of the family's 1533-position model. The record is from RNAcentral.
ACGCUGGCGGCGUGGAUUAGGCAUGCAAGUCGAACGGUAGGAUACCUUCGGGUAUCUGAGAGUGGCGAACGGGUGAGUAACACGUAGGUGAUCUACCCUCAAGAUUGGGACAACCCAGGGAAACUUGGGCUAAUACCGGAUGAAAGCAGCAGUGAUGUUGUUUGAAAGGUGGCGUAAGCUGCCGUUUGGGGAUGAGCCUGCGCUCUAUUAGUUAGUUGGCGGGGUAAAGGCCCACCAAGGCGAUGAUAGAUAGGCGGCCUUAACGGGUGGUCGCCCACACUGGGAUUGAGAUACGGCCCAGACUCCUACGGGAGGCAGCAGUCGAGAAUAGUCUACAAUGGCCGAAAGGCUGAUAGUGCGACGCCGCGUGAACGAAGAAGCCCUUCGGGGUGUAAAGUUCUUUUAUAUGUGAGCAGUGCUUUCUAUGUGAACAGCAUGGGGAGAGAGAUAUUAGCAUAUGAAUAAGCAACGGCUAACUCCGUG